This 576-nucleotide ribosomal RNA is filed under the name uncultured bacterium. RNAcentral's name for it is "bacterial SSU rRNA". It matches the Rfam family "Bacterial small subunit ribosomal RNA", at positions 102 to 674 of the family's 1533-position model. The record is from RNAcentral.
ACGGGUGAGUAAUGCCUAGGAAUCUGCCUGGUAGUGGGGGACAACGUUUCGAAAGGAACGCUAAUACCGCAUACGUCCUACGGGAGAAAGCAGGGGACCUUCGGGCCUUGCGCUAUCAGAUGAGCCUAGGUCGGAUUAGCUAGUUGGUGGGGUAAUGGCUCACCAAGGCGACGAUCCGUAACUGGUCUGAGAGGAUGAUCAGUCACACUGGAACUGAGACACGGUCCAGACUCCUACGGGAGGCAGCAGUGGGGAAUAUUGGACAAUGGGCGAAAGCCUGAUCCAGCCAUGCCGCGUGUGUGAAGAAGGUCUUCGGAUUGUAAAGCACUUUAAGUUGGGAGGAAGGGCAGUAAGCUAAUACCUUGCUGUUUUGACGUUACCGACAGAAUAAGCACCGGCUAACUCUGUGCCAGCAGCCGCGGUAAUACAGAGGGUGCAAGCGUUAAUCGGAAUUACUGGGCGUAAAGCGCGCGUAGGUGGUUUGUUAAGUUGGAUGUGAAAGCCCCGGGCUCAACCUGGGAACUGCAUCCAAAACUGGCAAGCUAGAGUACGGUAGAGGGUGGUGGAAUUUCCUGU